GAUGAACGCUAGCUACAGGCUUAACACAUGCAAGUCGAGGGGAAACGACAUCGAAAGCUUGCUUUUGAUGGGCGUCGACCGGCGCACGGGUGAGUAACGCGUAUCCAACCUUCCCGCAACUGGGGGAUAACCUUGCGAAAGUAAGACUAAUACCCCAUGGUCUCCACGGAUGGCAUCUGAAAUGGAGUAAAGGUUUCGGCCGGUUGCGGAUGGGGAUGCGUCCGAUUAGCUUGACGGCGGGGUAACGGCCCACCGUGGCAUCGAUCGGUAGGGGUUCUGAGAGGAAGGUCCCCCACAUUGGAACUGAGACACGGUCCAAACUCCUACGGGAGGCAGCAGUGAGGAAUAUUGGUCAAUGGGCGGAAGCCUGAACCAGCCAAGUAGCGUGAAGGGACGACUGCCCUAUGGGUUGUAAACUUCUUUUAUGCGGGAUAAAGUUCGCCACGUGUGGCGUUUUGCAGGUACCGCAUGAAUAAGGACCGGCUAAUUCCGUGCCAG
RNAcentral lists this ribosomal RNA (498 nucleotides) under uncultured bacterium. Its description in RNAcentral is "bacterial SSU rRNA". It matches the Rfam family "Bacterial small subunit ribosomal RNA", at positions 28 to 511 of the family's 1533-position model. The record is from RNAcentral.